Molecule: ribosomal RNA, 1805 nt
Filed under: Euzercon latum
Lineage: Eukaryota; Metazoa; Arthropoda; Arachnida; Mesostigmata; Euzerconidae
Description: SSU rRNA
Rfam family: Eukaryotic small subunit ribosomal RNA
Source: RNAcentral
GUAGUCAUAUGCUUGUCUCAAAGAUUUAGCCUUGCACGUCUAAGUACUGCUGCCUUACAAAUGGUGAAACCGCGAAUUGCUCAUUAAAUCAGUUAUGGUUCAUUGGAUCAUGACCAGAUACUUGGAUAUCUGUGGCAAUUCUAGAGCUAAUACAUGCACUAAAGCCGCGGCUACGGCCCCCGCUUGCUCUUAUUAGACAACCGGGCCCCUCGGGCUGCUCGCUCGCGGGCGGUGCGGGGGAACUCGGUGGUGACUCUGGAUAAUAUUGCCUAACCGCUCAAGGCCUCUGCGCCGGCGGGUAUCUUUCAAGUGUCUGCCCUAUCAACUGUCGAUGGUAGUUUACACGCCUACCAUGGUUGUGACGGGUGACGGAGAACCAGGUNUCGGUUCCGGAGAGGGAGCCUGAGAAACGGNUACCACAUCCAAGGAAGGCAGCAGGCGCGCAAAUUACCCAAUCCCGGCACGGGGANGUAGUGCCGAAAAAUUACAAUGCGGGGCUCUCAUGAAUCUCCGUGAAUGGAAUGAGCGGGGUACAAACCCCUCGCGAGUACCUAUCGGAAGGCAAGUCUGGUGCCAGCAACCGCGGUAAUACAGUUCCGNNNNCGUAUACUAAAGCUGUUGCGGUUAAAAAGCUCGUAGUUGAAACCGAGCGGGCUACGCGCAGUGGGAUCUGCUUUGCAGGUCCGUGUGUGCGGGCCGCGCAUCGGAGGCAGACGUCCGUCGUCCUCUUAACCGAGCGGCUUCGGGUGUUUGUCAAUGAUCACUUUGAUUAAACUAGAGUGCUCAAAGCGGGCCUUGUGCCUGCAUAACAGUGCACGGAAUGAUGGAAUACGUUGCUGUUCUGUUUGUCUGGUUUCCGGAAACGGCACAAUGAUCAAAAGGGACAAGUCGGAGGCGAAGGUACUGUAGGGAUAGAGGUGAAAUUCUGUGACCCCUGCAAGACCAACUACAGCGAAAGCAUUCGCCGAGAGUGUUUUCAUUGAUCAAGAACGAAAGUCAGAUGAUCGAAGGCGAUCAGAUACCGCCCUAGUUCUGACCAUAAACGAUGUCGACCAGCAAUCCGCCUUGGUUGUUUUUACGACCGGGCGGGCAGCUUCCGGGAAACCACAGUGUGGUUCCGGGAGAGUAUGGUUGCAAAGCUGAAACUUAAAGGAAUUGACGGAAGGGCACCACAAGAAGUGGAGCUGCGGCUUAAUUUGACUCAACACUGGGCACCUCACCUGGUCCUGACACUGGGAGGAUUGACAGAUUGAGAGCUCUUUCUUGAUUCGGUGCAUAGUGGUGCAUGGCCGUUCUUAGUUCGUGGAGCGAUCCGUCUGGUUAAUUCCGAUAACGAACGAGACUCUAUCUUACUAACUAGUCUGCGCGUAUCAGCCGCGUGCAGACUUCUUAGAGGGACGAGGUGCUUCCAGCACCGCGAAAAAGAGCGAUAACAGGUCUGUGAUGCCCUUAGAUGUUCAGGGCCGCACGCGCGCUACAAUGGGGCAAGCAGCGUGUCGGUGAGCCUAGCCCGAAGGGGCCGGGUAACCCCGGAACCUCCCUCAUGCUCGGGAUAGAGGAUUGCAAUUGCGCCUCUUGAACGAGGAAUUUCUCGUAAACGUAAUUCACCAGAUUGUGUUGAUUAGGUCCCUGCCCUUUGUCCACACCGCCCGUCGCUGCUACCGAUUGAGUGAACUAGUGAGGCCAUCCGACCGGGCCCCCGGGCGUCCUUCGGGGAUCGCGCGGGUGGAGCGGGAAGACGGCCGAACUUGUGCACUUAGAGGAAGCAAAAGUCGUAACAAGGUUUCCGUAGGUGAACCUGCGGA